This 92-nucleotide transfer RNA is filed under the name Mustela putorius furo (domestic ferret). It matches the Rfam family "tRNA". From Rfam's summary of the family: Transfer RNA (tRNA) molecules are approximately 80 nucleotides in length. Lineage: Eukaryota; Metazoa; Chordata; Mammalia; Carnivora; Mustelidae. The record is from Rfam by way of RNAcentral.
GCCCAGAUGGCUCAGUUGGUUGAGCAUCUGACUCUUGGUUUUUGGUUUAGAUCAUGAUCUCAGGGUUGUGGGAUCAAGCCCUGCCUUGGGCU